GAGGGGAAUGUCAGCCAAAGGCUUCAGGUUGGUGGUCCAAGAGUGAAAGGAGAAACCAAGGAAAAGGAUGGCCCCCUGGAGGAGCGUUCCUGCCCAGAUGAGGUCUGUCAGAGCAGGUGGAAGCUGGGCUGGGCUGCCUGAGCAUGGGUCUGUCCUGGGUCAUGGCUCAGUGCUGCAGCUGCAUCCUUCCUGGGGACUCUUACUUCUGUGCCCUCUUCACAGAAAGGGGUUUUCUCAGCAGUUAAGCCUCUGCUCUGAGCUCCUUUGGGAACUGGGCUCUGGAGAGGGAAUAGCAUGUCUUGGGCCUGGGCAGGAUGGGGGGUCCACUGGCGCACCUGCCCAGGUGGACACAUACUCUUUCUUCCAUGCAGGUGUGCUCCCCAGAAGGGGGGCCGCUCCCAGCCAGCCCCUGGCACCAGAACGGCCCGACCCAGCAACAGCAGCAGCAACAGCCCAGCCAGUCCAGCCAGCCCCAGGGGCCCCUCCCAGCCCCCGGGCAGCCCUGCCAGCCCCAGCGGCCG
RNAcentral lists this long non-coding RNA (521 nucleotides) under Rattus norvegicus (Norway rat). RNAcentral's name for it is "long non-coding RNA NONRATT007657". Lineage: Eukaryota; Metazoa; Chordata; Mammalia; Rodentia; Muridae. The record is from RNAcentral.